Molecule: ribosomal RNA, 20 nt
Filed under: Anopheles engarensis
Lineage: Eukaryota; Metazoa; Arthropoda; Insecta; Diptera; Culicidae
Description: partial 28S ribosomal RNA
Source: RNAcentral
GCCUCAAGUUAUGUGUGACA